RNAcentral lists this ribosomal RNA (158 nucleotides) under uncultured bacterium. RNAcentral's name for it is "partial 16S ribosomal RNA". It matches the Rfam family "Bacterial small subunit ribosomal RNA", at positions 355 to 513 of the family's 1533-position model. The record is from RNAcentral.
UGAGGAAUAUUGGUCAAUGGGCGGGAGCCUGAACCAGCCAAGCCGCGUGAGGGAAUAAGGCCCUACGGGUCGUAAACCUCUUUUGUCGGGGACAAAACCGGAGACGAGUCUCCGGCUGCGUGUACCCGAGAAAAGCAUCGGCUAACUCCGUGCCAGCA